RNAcentral lists this ribosomal RNA (791 nucleotides) under uncultured bacterium. RNAcentral's name for it is "bacterial SSU rRNA". It matches the Rfam family "Bacterial small subunit ribosomal RNA", at positions 8 to 796 of the family's 1533-position model. The record is from RNAcentral.
AGAGUUUGAUCAUGGCUCAGAUUGAACGCUGGCGGCAUGCCUUACGCAUGCAAGUCGAACGGUAACAGGUCUUCGGAUGCUGACGAGUGGCGAACGGGUGAGUAAUACAUCGGAACGUGCCCGAUCGUGGGGGAUAACGGAGCGAAAGCUUUGCUAAUACCGCAUACGAUCUACGGAUGAAAGCAGGGGACCGCAAGGCCUUGCGCGGACGGAGCGGCCGAUGGCAGAUUAGGUAGUUGGUGGGAUAAAAGCUUACCAAGCCGACGAUCUGUAGCUGGUCUGAGAGGACGACCAGCCACACUGGGACUGAGACACGGCCCAGACUCCUACGGGAGGCAGCAGUGGGGAAUUUUGGACAAUGGGCGAAAGCCUGAUCCAGCCAUGCCGCGUGCAGGAUGAAGGCCUUCGGGUUGUAAACUGCUUUUGUACGGAACGAAAAGACUCCUUCUAAUAAAGGGGGUCCAUGACGGUACCGUAAGAAUAAGCACCGGCUAACUACGUGCCAGCAGCCGCGGUAAUGCGUAGGGUGCAAGCGUUAAUCGGAAUUACUGGGCGUAAAGCGUGCGCAGGCGGUUAUAUAGGACAGAUGUGAAAUCCCCGGGCUCAACCUGGGAACUGCAUUUGUGACUGUAUAGCUAGAGUACGGUAGAGGGGGAUGGAAUUCCGCGUGUAGCAGUGAAAUGCGUAGAUAUGCGGAGGAACACCGAUGGCGAAGGCAAUCCCCUGGACCUGUACUGACGCUCAUGCACGAAAGCGUGGGGAGCAAACAGGAUUAGAUACCCCGGUAGUCC